RNAcentral lists this ribosomal RNA (440 nucleotides) under uncultured bacterium. Its description in RNAcentral is "partial 16S ribosomal RNA". It matches the Rfam family "Bacterial small subunit ribosomal RNA", at positions 338 to 795 of the family's 1533-position model. The record is from RNAcentral.
CCUACGGGUGGCAGCAGUGGGGGAUAUUGGACAAUGGGCGGAACCCUGAUCCAGCGACGCCGCGUGAGGGAAGACGGUCCUCUGGAUUGUAAACUACUUUCGCCAGGGAACAAGAUCACGCUCGCGGGCCUGAAAGCUCCGGCUAAAUACGUGCAAGUAGCCGCGGUAAGACGCGGGGAGCGCGCGGUUUCCGGAGUUACUGGGUGUAACGGGAGCGUAGGCGGUAGUGCAAGUUGGAGGUAAAAUCUACGGGCUCAACCGGUGGCCGCAGUCGAAACUGCAGAUCUUGAGUGAAGGAGAGGCAGGCGGAAUGCGUAGUGUAGCGGUGAAAUGCGUAGAUAUUAGGAGGAACACCGGUGGCGAAGGCAGCCUGCCGGGGUCGAACUGACGCUGAGGCACGAAAGUGUGGGGAGCGAACAGGAUUAGAUACCCCUGUAGUC